UAGGGAAUAUUAGUAAUGGGCGAAAGCCUGAACUAGCAACGCCGCGUGUGCGAAGAAAGCCUUCGGGUUGUAAAGCACUUUUUGAGAGGAUGAGGAAGGACGGUACUCUCAGAAUAAGUCUCGGCUAACAACGUGCCAGCAGCCGCGGUAACACGUAGGAGGCGAACGUUAUCCGGAUUUACUGAGCGUAAAGCGCGUGUAGGUGGUUUGGUAAGUAGGGCGUGAAAGCUCCUGGCUCAACUGGGAGAGGACGUUCUAAACUGCCAAGCUUGAGGAUGGUAGAGGGAGGUGGAAUUCCGGGUGUAGCGGUGGAAUGCGCAGAUAUCCGGAGGAACACCAGUGGCGAAGGCGGCCUCCUGGACCACUCCUGACACUCAGACGCGAAAGCUAGGGUAGCAAACGG
This 403-nucleotide ribosomal RNA is filed under the name uncultured bacterium. RNAcentral describes it as "bacterial SSU rRNA". It matches the Rfam family "Bacterial small subunit ribosomal RNA", at positions 355 to 775 of the family's 1533-position model. The record is from RNAcentral.